Arthrobacter crystallopoietes BAB-32 is the source of this 95-nucleotide regulatory RNA element. It matches the Rfam family "SAM riboswitch aptamer (S box leader)". From Rfam's summary of the family: The SAM riboswitch is found upstream of a number of genes which code for proteins involved in methionine or cysteine biosynthesis in Gram-positive bacteria. The SAM riboswitch acts at the level of transcription termination control. The record is from Rfam. Lineage: Bacteria; Bacillati; Actinomycetota; Actinomycetes; Micrococcales; Micrococcaceae.
GGACCAUCCCGAGCGGCCGAGAGAUCUGGCUCUUUGACGCCGCAGCAACCCUCCGGACUCCACCGGAAAGGUGCUACCGCCAGAAGCGAUGGAGA